RNAcentral lists this long non-coding RNA (573 nucleotides) under Hordeum vulgare. Its description in RNAcentral is "long non-coding RNA (HVUL_LNC015022)". The record is from RNAcentral. Lineage: Eukaryota; Viridiplantae; Streptophyta; Magnoliopsida; Poales; Poaceae.
UUGCCACCAUUGCCACGAUUGCCACCAUUGCCACCAAGUAGGUAUGAUAAAAAACCACAAACUCUGCGACUUUCCCACCAUUGCCACCAUUGCCACGGUUGCCACGGUUGCCACCAUUGCCACCAAGUAGGUAUGAUAAAAAACCACUAACUCUGCGACUUUCCCACCAUUGCCACGGUUGCCACGGUUGCCACGGUUGCCACCAUUGCCACGGUUGCCACGGUUGCCACGGUUGCCACGAUUGCCACCAAGUAGGUAUGAUAAAAAACCACUAACUCUGCGACUUUCCCACCAUUGCCACCAUUGCCACGGUUGCCACGGUUGCCACCAUUGCCACCAUUGCCACGGUUGCCACGGUUGCCACGGUUGCCACGAUUGCCACCAAGUAGGUAUGAUAAAAAACCACUAACUCUGCGACUUUCCCACCAUUUCCACCAUUGCCACCAUUGCCACGGUUGCCACGGUUGCCACCAAGUAGGUAUGAUAAAAAACCACUAACUCUGCGACUUUCCCACCAUUGCCACGGUUGCCACGGUUGCCACGGUUGCCACCAAGUAGGUAUGAUAAAAAACC